ACUGUGGUAAUUCUAGAGCUAAUACAUGCAAACAGAGCUCUGACCGGAGACGGAAGGAGUGCUUUUAUUAGAUCAAAACCAAUCGGCGGCGGUAGCGUUUCGGCGUUAUCGUUCGUCGCUCAAUAAAUGGUGAAUCUGAAUAACUUUAUGCUGAUCGCAUGGUCUUGUACCGGCGACGCAUCUUUCAAAUGUCUGCCUUAUCAACUGUCGAUGGUAGGAUCUGCGCCUACCAUGGUUGUAACGGGUAACGGGGAAUCAGGGUUCGAUUCCGGAGAGGGAGCCUGAGAAACGGCUACCACAUCCAAGGAAGGCAGCAGGCGCGCAAAUUACCCACUCCCGGCACGGGGAGGUAGUGACGAAAAAUAACGAUACGGGACUCAUCCGAGGCCCCGUAAUCGGAAUGAGUACACUUUAAAUCCUUUAACAAGGACCAAUUGGAGGGCAAGUCUGGUGCCAGCAGCUGCGGUAAUUCCAGCUCCAAUAGCGUAUAUUAAAGUUGUUGCGGUUAAAAAGCUCGUAGUUGAAUUUGUGUCCCGCACUGUCGGUUCACCGCCCGCGGUGCUAACUGGCAUGUUUGCGGGACGUCCUGCCGGUGGAUUGUCGUAGCUUGAGAUCAUUCCGCACACCUUCCGGGGCGCGCGCGUUUGGUUGCAUGGCUAGACAUUCCGACUUAUAAAUCCUGUCUGGGUGCUCUUAAUCGAGUGUCGAGGCGGGCCGGCACGUUUACUUUGAACAAAUUAAAGUGCUCAAAGCAGGCUUAUAAAUGCCUGAAUAAUUAGUGCAUGGAAUAAUGGAACAGGACCUUGGUUCUAUUUUGUUGGUUUUCGGAACCCCAAGGUAAUGAUUAAUAGGGACAGAUGGGGGCAUUCGUAUUGCGACGUUAGAGGUGAAAUUCUUGGAUCGUCGCAAGACGGACUAAAGCGAAAGCAUUUGCCAAAGAUGUUUUCAUUAAUCAAGAACGAAAGUCAGAGGUUCGAAGGCGAUCAGAUACCGCCCUAGUUCUGACCAUAAACGAUGCCAGCUAGCGAUCCGCCAAAGUUCCUCCGAUGACUUGGCGGGCAGCUUCCGGGAAACCAAAGCUUUUGGGUUCCGGGGGAAGUAUGGUUGCAAAGCUGAAACUUAAAGGAAUUGACGGAAGGGCACCACCAGGAGUGGAGCCUGCGGCUUAAUUUGACUCAACACGGGAAACCUCACCAGGCCCAGACACUGGAAGGAUUGACAGAUUGAGAGCUCUUUCUUGAUUCAGUGGGUGGUGGUGCAUG
This 1262-nucleotide ribosomal RNA is filed under the name Amaroschema gaudini. Its description in RNAcentral is "SSU rRNA". It matches the Rfam family "Eukaryotic small subunit ribosomal RNA", at positions 146 to 1286 of the family's 1831-position model. Lineage: Eukaryota; Metazoa; Arthropoda; Insecta; Coleoptera; Carabidae. The record is from RNAcentral.